RNAcentral lists this transfer RNA (72 nucleotides) under Bos taurus (domestic cattle). It matches the Rfam family "tRNA". From Rfam's summary of the family: Transfer RNA (tRNA) molecules are approximately 80 nucleotides in length. Their secondary structure includes four short double-helical elements and three loops (D, anti-codon, and T loops). The record is from Rfam by way of RNAcentral. Lineage: Eukaryota; Metazoa; Chordata; Mammalia; Artiodactyla; Bovidae. RNAcentral also lists the same sequence under 2 other names.
UCCCUGGUGGCUCAGAGGAUAGAGCGUCUGCCUGCAGUGCAGGAGACCCAGGUUCGAUCCCUGGGUUGGGAA